CCUACGGGAGGCAGCAGUGAGGAAUAUUGGUCAAUGGCCGAGAGGCUGAACCAGCCAAGUCGCGUGAGGGAUGACUGCCCUACGGGUUGUAAACUUCUUUUAUAAAGGAAUAAAGUGAGGCACGUGUGCCUUUUUGUAUGUACUUUAUGAAUAAGGAUCGGCUAGCUCCGUGCCAGCAGCCGCGGUAAUACGGAGGAUCCGAGCGUUAUCCGGAUUUAUUGGGUUUAAAGGGAGCGUAGAUGGGUUGUUAAGUCAGUUGUGAAAGUUUGCGGCUCAACCGGAAAAUUGCAAUUGAUACUGGCAGUCUUGAGUACGGGUGAGGUAGGCGGAAUUCGUGGUGUAGCGGUGAAAUGCUUAGAUAUCACGAAGAACUCCGAUUGCGAAGGCAGCUUACUAAACUGCCACUGACAUUGAUGCUCGAAAGUGUGGGUAUCAAACAGGAUUAGAUACCCGGGUAGUC
RNAcentral lists this ribosomal RNA (460 nucleotides) under uncultured bacterium. RNAcentral's name for it is "partial 16S ribosomal RNA". It matches the Rfam family "Bacterial small subunit ribosomal RNA", at positions 338 to 795 of the family's 1533-position model. The record is from RNAcentral.